AUUGAACGCUGGCGGCAGGCCUAACACAUGCAAGUCGAACGGUAACAGGAAACAGCUUGCUGUUUCGCUGACGAGUGGCGGACGGGUGAGUAAUGUCUGGGAAACUGCCUGAUGGAGGGGGAUAACUACUGGAAACGGUAGCUAAUACCGCAUAACGUCGCAAGACCAAAGAGGGGGACCUUCGGGCCUCUUGCCAUCGGAUGUGCCCAGAUGGGAUUAGCUAGUAGGUGGGGUAACGGCUCACCUAGGCGACGAUCCCUAGCUGGUCUGAGAGGAUGACCAGCCACACUGGAACUGAGACACGGUCCAGACUCCUACGGGAGGCAGCAGUGGGGAAUAUUGCACAAUGGGCGCAAGCCUGAUGCAGCCAUGCCGCGUGUAUGAAGAAGGCCUUCGGGUGGUAAAGUACUUUCAGCGGGGAGGAAGGGAGUAAAGUUAAUACCUUUACUCAUUGACGUUACCCGCAGAAGAAGCACCGGCUAACUCCGUG
This 490-nucleotide ribosomal RNA is filed under the name uncultured bacterium. Its description in RNAcentral is "partial 16S ribosomal RNA". It matches the Rfam family "Bacterial small subunit ribosomal RNA", at positions 30 to 507 of the family's 1533-position model. The record is from RNAcentral.